This 76-nucleotide transfer RNA is filed under the name Megasphaera elsdenii. Its description in RNAcentral is "tRNA-Phe". It matches the Rfam family "tRNA". Rfam says of the family: Transfer RNA (tRNA) molecules are approximately 80 nucleotides in length. Their secondary structure includes four short double-helical elements and three loops (D, anti-codon, and T loops). RNAcentral also lists the same sequence under 40 other names. Lineage: Bacteria; Bacillati; Bacillota; Negativicutes; Veillonellales; Veillonellaceae. The record is from RNAcentral.
GCUCAGGUAGCUCAGUCGGUAGAGCAGGGGACUGAAAAUCCCCGUGUCGGCGGUUCAAUUCCGUCCCUGAGCACCA